UACGGGAGGCAGCAGUAGGGAUCUUCCACAAUGGACGAAAGUCUGAUGGAGCAACGCCGCGUGAGUGAAGAAGGUUUUCGGAUCGUAAAACUCUGUUGUUGGAGAAGAAUGUAUCUGAUAGUAACUGAUCAGGUAGUGACGGUAUCCAACCAGAAAGCCACGGCUAACUACGUGCCAGCAGCCGCGGUAAUACGUAGGUGGCAAGCGUUGUCCGGAUUUAUUGGGCGUAAAGCGAGCGCAGGCGGUUUCUUAAGUCUGAUGUGAAAGCCUUCGGCUCAACCGAAGAAGUGCAUCGGAAACUGGGAAACUUGAGUGCAGAAGAGGACAGUGGAACUCCAUGUGUAGCGGUGAAAUGCGUAGAUAUAUGGAAGAACACCAGUGGCGAAGGCGGCUGUCUGGUCUGUAACUGACGCUGAGGCUCGAAAGCAUGGGUAGCAAACAGGAUUAGAUACCCUGGUAGUCCAUGCCGUAAACGAUGAGUGCUAGGUGUUGGAGGGUUUCCGCCCUUCAGUGCCGCAGCUAACGCAUUAAGCACUCCGCCUGGGGAGUACGACCGCAAGGUUGAAACUCAAAGGAAUUGACGGGGGCCCGCACAAGCGGUGGAGCAUGUGGUUUAAUUCGAAGCAACGCGAAGAACCUUACCAGGUCUUGACAUCCUUUGACCACUCUAGAGAUAGAGCUUUCCCUUCGGGGACAAAGUGACAGGUGGUGCAUGGUUGUCGUCAGCUCGUGUCGUGAGAUGUUGGGUUAAGUCCCGCAACGAGCGCAACCCUUAUUACUAGUUGCCAGCAUUUAGUUGGGCACUCUAGUGAGACUGCCGGUGACAAACCGGAGGAAGGUGGGGACGACGUCAAAUCAUCAUGCCCCUUAUGACCUGGGCUACACACGUGCUACAAUGGAUGGUACAACGAGUUGCGAGACCGCGAGGUUUAGCUAAUCUCUUAAAACCAUUCUCAGUUCGGAUUGUAGGCUGCAACUCGCCUACAUGAAGCCGGAAUCGCUAGUAAUCGCGGAUCAGCAUGCCGCGGUGAAUACGUUCCCGGGCCUUGUACACACCGCCCGUCACACCAUGAGAGUUUGUAACACCCAAAGCCGGUGAGGUAACCCUUCGGGAGCCAGCCGUCUAAG
Molecule: ribosomal RNA, 1128 nt
Filed under: Latilactobacillus sakei
Lineage: Bacteria; Bacillati; Bacillota; Bacilli; Lactobacillales; Lactobacillaceae
Description: bacterial SSU rRNA
Rfam family: Bacterial small subunit ribosomal RNA
Source: RNAcentral